Molecule: long non-coding RNA, 1405 nt
Organism: Triplophysa dalaica
Lineage: Eukaryota; Metazoa; Chordata; Actinopteri; Cypriniformes; Nemacheilidae
Exons: 3
Source: RefSeq, a predicted model, not a curated record
CCUAACUCCAUUAAGCCACUUCGCAUCAAAUAAAUCCCACUGAACAAUUGCUGGACGAUCUGCGCUUCAUUAUUCAAGAACUUCCACGAACAGGCUCAACAGGGACCAGGAUACAGAGUCAGACGUUUCCUGGACCCUCGGAGUCAUGUCAGUGGAGGGAAAUCAUGCCCAUCUGUGCGCGCCUUGUGUCAGCCUCUCAGGGUUCCCAGUGUUGUUUUAGGGUCACAGACAGAGACGAACAAAAGAAGCAGUAAAAAUGACCCUUACACACAGAGUGGAUCAUCUUUUCUUUAAUGCAGGGCGUGGAUGCCUAAGGCCCCCUUUAUUUCUUUUGGCAUACUUGUACUUCAUCUUCAGUUUGUUGCUGACCUGUUAUGUUUUAUAUUUUUAUUUUGCACAAAUCCAUUUCAUUAAUUUAAUACAGUUUUCAUCAUGAAUAAUUUUGUCUAUAUUACACAGUAUUUGAGCAGGACAUGAAAUUAUGACAUCAGGCUUAUUAGCAUUUGAUAUAUCCCCUUUUUCCAUUACCGUUUUCCUUUCCAUGGGGGUGGCAGGGACUCCAAAUUACUGAUGAAAAACCUGAUGAACCACGAGCUUGAGGAUUUCCCACAGAGCCUGUGUGCAUUGCAGACAUCUGUAUUUUUGUGUAAUAGAUUUAUAAUCAUCAAGGUCACAGAUUUCCUUAGAAGUAUUGUUUGCUUUAAAUCAAAUCCUUAAACCUACUACUUUAUGCCAGGUGUAAAUUUGAUUUUAAAUCCUGCAUUUUUCAGGUAGCAUCAGACUUUGGCAACCACUGGAUAUACAAAAGCAUGAGUAUUGAAUCUCUUAUAACUUCCUCCUGAUGGAGUUGAGCUCCUCAACAGACUCAGUGGUUUCUCCGGUUACGAAUGACACCUGAAAAAAGCAGAAACACAAAGAGUGCUGAUGCAUUUCUUAAUUCUUAUUUUCUCAUUUUCAUGUUGACAAUAUGCAUUAAAGAUAGAGGUAUUUGCCAUUAGAUUUUAUGUCUUUUCUUGUAGAGAAUGCCAUGCAUUUGUCUCCUGGGAUCGUUUGAUGGAAAUGUUAAAUUAGCUGUUAUUUUUUUUACUGUACAGUCAGUAUUAAGUUACUGUGGUUAUUGUGGAACACCCUUGUAGAAAUGUAUAAUAUCUGCUCAUGAUAAGUUUCUGUGCUUCUGAAUAGAUCCCACCCUGAUUUUGCCGCGGCCUCUGUGUGUCUGCCGGUGGCAGAAGGAAUUGUGUCACGUGAAAUGCAAUACUGAUUCUUUGUUAUAUUUGUUAGGAAAUCUCCCCAUCUUGGUGACUCUUUGUGCACAUACACACAUUUACUCAGCAAAAAUGAGAAAUAGACGUUUGUUGAUUUAUACAUAGCCUACAGUAGAUAAAUAUAAUUACUUUAAACUAAC